UACUAUGACAAAAGAUGCUGCAAAAGUGGUCAAGGACACUUGCUUGGGGGAACUGUAUCCUAAAACAUUCCUAGUUUGUUUUUUGAGACGGAGUCUUGCUCUGUCGCCCGGCUGGAGUGCAGUGGCGUGAUCUCAGCUCACUGCAACCUCUGCCUUCCAGGUUCAAGCGAUUCUCCUGCCUCAGCCUCCCGAGUAGCUGGGAUUGCAGGCACCCGCCACCAUGCCCAGCUAAUUUUUGUAUUUUUAGUAGACACGAGGUUUUGCCAUGUUGGCCAGGUUGGUCUCGAACUCCUGACCUCACAUGAUAUGACUGCCUUGGCCUCCCAAAGUGCUGGGAUUACAGGCGUGAGCCACUGUGUCCUGCUGCAUUCCUAGUUUACAUUGAAGACUCUUUGAAACGUUCAGACCGCCUAGCAUUUUUCAUUGGAAAGGUACCACAAGAGCCAGGCCAUCUAUCUGGAGUCAAAGGACAACCAGAAACUGAGCUGCGUGAUCAGUUCUGUAGG
Molecule: small RNA, 506 nt
Filed under: Pan troglodytes (chimpanzee)
Lineage: Eukaryota; Metazoa; Chordata; Mammalia; Primates; Hominidae
Description: processed transcript
Source: RNAcentral